RNAcentral lists this long non-coding RNA (1397 nucleotides) under Vigna radiata. RNAcentral describes it as "long non-coding RNA (VRAD_LNC017663)". Lineage: Eukaryota; Viridiplantae; Streptophyta; Magnoliopsida; Fabales; Fabaceae. The record is from RNAcentral.
GUGCAAGAAAUUUUAAAAUUUGGUUGGUUUUCAAGGUUGCAAAGUGAUACGCGGGGCCCAAGCCCACUUUCUUUAGUUAGUAUAUUUUUGAUGUGUUUUGUAUUGUGUUAGGCAUGUAGGACCUUUAGUCCUAUAAAUAGUCAUGCCUACCUUAUUGUACUUCACUUUUGAGAUUAAUGAGAAUUUAGUUUUCUAAAUCAGAAAAUAAUUCUCCCUUGAAAGUCAUUGGCUAGAGAGUCCAAAGACCUCUAGCCUCCUUCCAAAGCACACUUCAUUAUUUCAUUUUCCAAUUACUCCACCGUGCUUCUCUCUCCUCGUCACCAAUUCCUCCACUUUGCUUCCGGCACGCGUCACGAGCUCUCAAGCCACGCGUUCCUUCCCGAAGCCAUAUCAGCGUCAUUUGUAUUCCAGACGCAUUACCUCUCAUUUUCCACAUCUCAGCGUCUUCACUCUGCUAGGGUUCACUCUCAGCGUCUUCGAGAGCAUCCUCCAAACACGAACCACCAUUCAUCGUCACCCUCGCGUUUCAGAUCAGCACUGUAAGUUGAUCUCACUGAAUCACCUCUAAGAUUCAUCUUCUCCGAACCUUUCCCUUUCCAUUUGUCCGAUCGUUUUGACCUUUUCUUCACAUCUCACCGAUUGAAUCUUCAUCUUCGACUUUUAUACCAUUUAUUCGGUCAUUCUCACCGAUUAAACCAUCCUAAACCACCAUAUCUAGAUCCUUCCUCGAACAAACCUUCGAUCUAGGGUUCGUUUGAUCUCUUCCCACUCCAACACCGAAACCUAGGGUCUAUAGAGUUUUGAUCUUCUUCCGCUGCGACAUCUCUUCCAAUCAUGCGUUCAACUCCAUUUCUCGGUCUUCCUCCGAUCUGUCGUGACCGAGAUCGUAUCACAAAGUUUGGUGGUGAGACUUGGCCGAGGUGGUGUUUGGUGCCAAGAUUUGGAAAAUUUUCAGUGCCUUUGUUUUUGAGAUUUGAUGGUUGGGAUGCACUCUUUAUAUCACCAAAUGGCUACUAUAAAAAUAUCGUGCAAGAAUGUUUUCGUUUUGGUUGGUUUUUAAGCUAGUGGGUUCUUAGUGCCAAGAUUUAGGAAAUUUUCAAAUACUUAAUUUUUUAGAUUUAAAAGUUGGAAUGCACUCUUUAUAUCACCAAAUGACUACAUUAAAAAUCUUGGUGCAAGAAAUUUUUCAUUUUGGUUGGUUUUCAAGCUUACGAAGUUUGGUGGUGGGACUUGGCUAAAGUGGUGUUUGGUGCCAAGAUUUGGAAAAUUUUAAUUGCCUUUGUUUUUGAGAUAUGAUGGUUUGGAUGCACUCUUUGUAUCACCAAAUGGCUACUAUAAAAAUCUCGUGCAAGAAAGUUUUCGUUUUGGUUGGUUUUCAAGCUAGCAAAGAUUGGUGG